GUCCACGCCCUAAACGAUGUCAACUAGUUGUCGGGACUUUAUUGUUUGGUAACGCAGCUAACGCGGGAAGUUGACCGCCUGGGGAGUACGGUCGCAAGAUUAAACUCAAAGGAAUUGACGGGACCCGCACAAGCGGUGGAUGAUGUGGAUUAAUUCGAUGCAACGCGAAAACCUUACCUACCCUUGACAUGGAUCAAAGCUUCAAGAGAUUGGAGUGUGCUCGCAAGAGAAUGGUCACACAGGUGCUGCAUGGCUGUCGU
This 260-nucleotide ribosomal RNA is filed under the name uncultured bacterium. Its description in RNAcentral is "partial 16S ribosomal RNA". It matches the Rfam family "Bacterial small subunit ribosomal RNA", at positions 793 to 1055 of the family's 1533-position model. The record is from RNAcentral.